AGAGUUUGGACUCCGUGCGACAGGACGAACGCUGCGGCGUGCCUAACACAUGCAAGUCGAACGGAACUUAAGUUGAAGGAAUUCUUCGGAAGGACGAUUGGUUAAGUUUAGUGGCGGACGGGUGAGUAACGCGUGAGUAACCUGCCUCCGAGAGGGGAAUAACAAUCUGAAAAGAUUGCUAAUACGCAUAACAUAGCGAAGUCGCAUGGCAGCGCUAUCAAAGAUUUAUCGCUCGGAGAUGGACUCGCGUCCGAUUAGUUAGUUGGUGAGGUAACGGCUCACCAAGACCGCGAUCGGUAGCCGGACUGAGAGGUUGAACGGCCACAUUGGGACUGAGACACGGCCCAGACUCCUACGGGAGGCAGCAGUGGGGGAUAUUGCGCAAUGGGGGAAACCCUGACGCAGCAACGCCGCGUGAAGGAUGAAGGUUUUCGGAUUGUAAACUUCUUUUAUUAAGGACGAAAAAUAGACGGUACUUAAUGAAUAAGCUCCGGCUAACUACGUG
This 505-nucleotide ribosomal RNA is filed under the name uncultured Oscillospiraceae bacterium. RNAcentral's name for it is "bacterial SSU rRNA". It matches the Rfam family "Bacterial small subunit ribosomal RNA", at positions 1 to 507 of the family's 1533-position model. Lineage: Bacteria; Bacillati; Bacillota; Clostridia; Eubacteriales; Oscillospiraceae. The record is from RNAcentral.